Molecule: unclassified non-coding RNA, 231 nt
Filed under: plant metagenome
Description: partial contains small subunit ribosomal RNA, internal transcribed spacer 1, and 5.8S ribosomal RNA
Source: RNAcentral
ACUCCGUUGGUGAACCAGCGGAGGGAUCAUUACUGAGUUACCGCUCUACAACCCUUUGUGAACAUACCUAACUGUUGCUUCGGCGGGCAGAGGUCCCUCGCGGAUCUCUCCCGGCAACGCCCUCACGGGCGGAGCGCCCGCCGGAGGAUACCAAACUCUAUUUUAACGACGUUUCUUCUGAGUGGCACAAGCAAAUAAUUAAAACUUUUAACAACGGAUCUCUUGGUUCUG